UGUAUAUGCUUCACGAAGUUCUCCUGCUCUUUUUUCAGCUCCAUCAAGUUGUUUAUGUUCUUCCGAAUGUUGGUUUUUCUAGUUAGCAUUCAUCUAAACUUUUUUCAAGGUACUUGAAUUAGGUUAGAACAUGUGCCUUUAGCUCAGAGAAGUUUGUUAUUACCCACCUUCUGAAGACACUUCUGUCAAUUCAUCAAACUCAUUCUCUAUCCAGUUUUAUUCCCUUCCUAGUGAGGAGUCGUGAUCCCUUGGAAGAGAAGAGGCAUUCUGAUUUUUGG
Molecule: long non-coding RNA, 278 nt
Organism: Sapajus apella (tufted capuchin)
Lineage: Eukaryota; Metazoa; Chordata; Mammalia; Primates; Cebidae
Exons: 3
Source: RefSeq, a predicted model, not a curated record